AAAAAAAUAAAAGUUGAAGUUCAUGGGACUAGUAAUGCAACUAGGAAUGAAUGAAGCGGGUAUUAUCUGUACCUGUAAACACCAUCUAUCUUUUCUUUAUUUCCGUCUCCUUUGAGGCCUUGAUGCCUCACCCAUGUAGCUUAAUUCACCUUCUGAAUGAAUGAAGCGGGUAGCACGCUACCUUUUUCUCAAAAAAAAGUAAUGCAACUAGGAAAGUAACAACCCCAAUU
RNAcentral lists this long non-coding RNA (230 nucleotides) under Ananas comosus (pineapple). RNAcentral describes it as "long non-coding RNA (ACOM_LNC018278)". Lineage: Eukaryota; Viridiplantae; Streptophyta; Magnoliopsida; Poales; Bromeliaceae. The record is from RNAcentral.